AUUGAACGCUGGCGGCAGGCUUAACACAUGCAAGUCGAGCGGGGUGAUGGUGCUUGCACUAUCACUUAGCGGCGGACGGGUGAGUAAUGCUUAGGAAUCUGCCUAUUAGUGGGGGACAACAUCUCGAAAGGGAUGCUAAUACCGCAUACGUCCUACGGGAGAAAGCAGGGGAUCACUUGUGACCUUGCGCUAAUAGAUGAGCCUAAGUCGGAUUAGCUAGUUGGUGGGGUAAAGGCCUACCAAGGCGACGAUCUGUAGCGGGUCUGAGAGGAUGGUCCGCCACACUGGGGCUGAGGCACGGCCCAGACUCCUACGGGAGGCAGCAGUGGGGAAUAUUGGACAAUGGGGGGAACCCUGAUCCAGCCAUGCCGCGUGUGUGAAGAAGGCCUUAUGGUUGUAAAGCACUUUAAGCGAGGAGGAGGCUCUUUUGGUUAAUACCCAAGAUGAGUGGACGUUACUCGCAGAAUAAGCACCGGCUAACUCUGUGCCAGCCGCCGCAGUAA
RNAcentral lists this ribosomal RNA (503 nucleotides) under uncultured bacterium. RNAcentral's name for it is "partial 16S ribosomal RNA". It matches the Rfam family "Bacterial small subunit ribosomal RNA", at positions 30 to 523 of the family's 1533-position model. The record is from RNAcentral.